AGAGUUUGAUCAUGGCUCAGAUUGAACGCUGGCGGAAUGCUUUACACAUGCAAGUCGAACGGCAGCACGGGGCAACCUGGUGGCGAGUGGCGAACGGGUGAGUAAUAUAUCGGAACGUGCCCAAUCGUGGGGGAUAACGUAGCGAAAGUUACGCUAAUACCGCAUACGAUCUACGGAUGAAAGCGGGGGAUCGCAAGACCUCGCGCGAAUGGAGCGGCCGAUAUCAGAUUAGGUAGUUGGUGGGGUAAAGGCUCACCAAGCCAACGAUCUGUAGCUGGUCUGAGAGGACGACCAGCCACACUGGAACUGAGACACGGUCCAGACUCCUACGGGAGGCAGCAGUGGGGAAUUUUGGACAAUGGGCGCAAGCCUGAUCCAGCCAUUCCGCGUGCAGGAUGAAGGCCUUCGGGUUGUAAACUGCUUUUGUACGGAACGAAACGGUCUGCCCUAAUACGGUGGGCCAAUGACGGUACCGUAAGAAUAAGCACCGGCUAACUACGUG
Molecule: ribosomal RNA, 502 nt
Filed under: uncultured bacterium
Lineage: Bacteria
Description: bacterial SSU rRNA
Rfam family: Bacterial small subunit ribosomal RNA
Source: RNAcentral